RNAcentral lists this non-coding RNA (201 nucleotides) under Zymomonas mobilis. Lineage: Bacteria; Pseudomonadati; Pseudomonadota; Alphaproteobacteria; Sphingomonadales; Zymomonadaceae. The record is from RNAcentral.
AGCAAGAAGAAGGAUUAAGGUUCUUUGUACGUGUUACAAAGCUAAGAGGGAAAUCGGUGCGGAAAAAUCCAAAGCCGGUGCUGCCCCCGCAACUGUAAACAGGUAGCCAGGAUCAUUUUUACCACUGAUAGUAAUAUCGGGAAGGUUGAUCUUAGGUGAUGAUCUGUAAGUCAGGAGACCUGCCUUAACCCUGUUAUCCAU